Molecule: long non-coding RNA, 422 nt
Filed under: Capsicum annuum
Lineage: Eukaryota; Viridiplantae; Streptophyta; Magnoliopsida; Solanales; Solanaceae
Description: long non-coding RNA (CANN_LNC020717)
Source: RNAcentral
CAUUUUAAUGUUCAAUUAAUCUUUUUUUAGGCAUUUUAAAUUUAUCUUACUAGCUUAUAUUAUAUUUUAUUAGUUUUUAAUUAUUUUUAUUUUAUUAAUAAUAAUAAAAAUAAUAAUAAUAAUAAUAAAAAAACCUAAACUACCCAAACCACCCACAAUUCCCACUUCUACUUAACCUCUCCCACUCUUCCUCCACACAACCCAUGACAAAACAUACACUAUAUAAACACAUGCAAACAUACACUAUAAAAAGACAUGCACACAUGCACUUAGAAAAAACACACACACACGAAAAAGAAAGAAAAGAAAAAACAUAUAUUAAACACACACACACGGAAGAACGAAAAAAAAAAACAGAAGAGAAAAAGAAAGAAAAAAAAAAAGAAAAAUCAAAGGAGAAGAGGAGAAGAAAUUUGGGUUUG